This 507-nucleotide ribosomal RNA is filed under the name uncultured bacterium. RNAcentral's name for it is "bacterial SSU rRNA". It matches the Rfam family "Bacterial small subunit ribosomal RNA", at positions 21 to 518 of the family's 1533-position model. The record is from RNAcentral.
GGCUCAAGAACGACGCUGGCGGCGCGUUUUAAGCAUGCAAGUCGAGCGGCAAGGGCCUUCGGGCCCUAGAGCGGCGGACGGGUGAGUAACACGUGGACAAUCUGCCCCCGGCCCGGGAUAGCCCAGGGAAACCUGGAUUAAUACCGGAUGAGACGGGACCCGCGAUGGCGGGACCCGGGAAAGGCGCUGCGGCGCCGCCGGGGGAUGAGUCUGCGUCCCAUUAGCUAGACGGCGGGGUAACGGCCCACCGUGGCGACGAUGGGUAGCCGGCCUGAGAGGGUGAUCGGCCACAUUGGGACUGAGACACGGCCCAAACUCCUACGGGAGGCAGCAGUAGGGAAUCUUCCGCAAUGGACGAAAGUCUGACGGAGCAACGCCGCGUGAGUGAAGAAAGGGUUUUCGGAUCGUAAAACUCUGUUGUCAGAGAAGAACAAGUUGGAGGGUAACUGCUCCAGCCUUGACGGUAUCUGACCAGAAAGCCACGGCUAACUACGUGCCAGCAGCGGC